Molecule: ribosomal RNA, 468 nt
Filed under: uncultured bacterium
Lineage: Bacteria
Description: partial 16S ribosomal RNA
Rfam family: Bacterial small subunit ribosomal RNA
Source: RNAcentral
GACGAACGCUGGCGGCGUGCUUAACACAUGCAAGUCGAACGGAAAGGCCCUGCUUUUGUGGGGUGCUCGAGUGGCGAACGGGUGAGUAACACGUGAGUAACCUGCCCUUGACUGUGGGAUAACUUCAGGAAACUGGGGCUAAUACCGGAUAGGAGCUCCUGCUGCAUGUUGGGGGUUGGAAAGUUUCGGCGGUUUGGGAUGGACUCGCGGCUUAUCAGCUUGUUGGUGGGGUAGUGGCUGACCAAGGCUUUGACGGGUAGCCGGCCUGAGAGGGUGACCGGCCACAUGGGGACUGAGGUACGGCCCAGACUCCUACGGGAGGCAGCAGUGGGGAGUAUUGCGCAAUGGGCGGGAGCCUGAUGCAGCAACGCCGCGUGCGGGAUGACGGCCUUCGGGUUGUAAACCGCUUUCGCCGGUGACGAAGCGUGAGUGACGGUAAUGGGUAAAGAAGCACCGGCUAACUACGUG